Non-coding RNA from Podarcis lilfordi (Lilford's wall lizard), 21090 nucleotides. Lineage: Eukaryota; Metazoa; Chordata; Lepidosauria; Squamata; Lacertidae. The record is from the annotation of a GenBank genome assembly.
AGCUUGCGAAAAUCUAUCACUUGCCCGAUAACAAAUGUUGGAAAUGUAAAGAAACUGAAGGUACAUUUUUUCACCUCUGGUGGACAUGCCCAAAGAUUAAGGCUUUCUGGGAAAAGAUAUAUAAUGAAUUAAAAAGGUAUUUAAGUAUACCUUUCCUAAGAAAACCAGAGGCCUUUCUCCUGGGCAUAGUCGGCCAAAUGGUGUUAAAAAGGAUAGAACUUUCUUUAUGUAUGCAACAACAGCAGCAAGAAUACUCAUCGCAAAGCAUUGGAAGACACAAGAACUUCCCACGCUGGAGGAAUGGCAGAUGAAACUUAUGGACUAUAUGGAAUUGGCGGAAAUGACUGGUAGAAUCCGUGACCAGGGAGAAGAGUCGAUGGAGGAAGACUGGAAGAAAUUUAAAGACUAUCUUCAGAAACACUGCAAAAUUAAGGAAUGUUAGAGUGAUGUUGGAUUGAAAAUAAGUGGUUUCCAGCUGCACAGGUUAAAGUUAAGGAUAGAUUAAGAUUAAAGAUUAAGAUUAAAGAAGUUUAAAGAAAUGGAAAUUUGAUUUUAAAAGGGAAAACUUUAAAGUUACAGGAUAUUAAGAUCAAGGAUUAGGUUUAAAAAGUUGAAGUUAUAUAUUUUAACAUUUUAUUAAAUUCAAGAUUGGGAUUAAAAAGUGGAAAAGAAACUGCUGGAUAAAUAAUGUGGAUUGGAAUACAAAGAGGGAGGUAUGAGGAAGUCCAGAAAAUAAGUAAUUUAAAAUCGGAAAUGGAAAAGAGAGUUUGUUUUUAAUUGUUAUGUUUUGUGUUUUUAUUGUUAAGUUUUGUAUUGUUUUUAUGUGUGUUGUCUUUCUUUUUCUUUGUUUAAAACCUCAAUAAAAAAUUAUUAAAAAAAAACAAACAAACAUCUGGUCAGUGUGUCUGGGGCCAAGUCAGGAUAGCCAUCCAUCAACAGAUAGAGUUGGGUGUCAUCAGCAUACUGAUGGCAACCCAGCCCAAAACUCCGGAAAAGCUGGGCGAGGGGGCGCAUAAAGAUGUUGAAAAGCAUCGGGGAGAGUAUCGCACCCUGAGGUACUCCACACACCAAGGAGUGGCACGAUGACAAUUCCCCCCUAAGUGCCACCCUCUGUCCCCGACCAGAGAGAAACGAGCGCAGCCAUUGAAAGACUGUGCCCUGGAUCCCCACGCCGGCAAGGCCAUGUCGAAAGCUGCUGACAGAUCUAGAAGAAUCAGCAGCCCUGACCCACCUCGAUCCAGCUGUCUACGAAGAUCAUCUGUUAGGGCAACCAGAGCCGUCUCGGUCCCAUGACCAGCAUGGAAGCCGGACUGGAAUGGAUCCAGAGCCGAUGUUUCAUCCAGAAACCCACAAGCUGUUCAGCAACCGUCUCUCAAUCACCUUACCCAGGAACGGAAGAUUCGAAACCGGGCGGUAAUUGGAUAGAUCUAAAGAUGUUUUCUUUAAGAGCGGGCGCACCACUGCCUCCUUCAGUUCCCUGGGAAUGUCCCCGUGCCAAGGGACAAAUUGAUGAUAUCCCCCAGGGGCCCGCACCUCGCCUGGACACUCUCUAAUCAGCCAAGACGGGCACGGGUCGAGAGGACAGGUGGUGGGCUUUCCAGCUCGGAGGAGUCUGUCCACAUCGGCUGGGGAUAUCCGGUUGAAGUGGUCCAAUACUGGACCCGAGGACAGUCAAGGGGCCUCCAGUUCCUUUAUUGUAUCCAAAUUGGCAGGGAGGUCAUGGCGGAGCAACAAGACCUUCUCCGCAAAAAAGCUCGCAAAUGCCUCACAGCUGUGUGUCAAAUUGUUAUUUAAAUUUGGCUGUCCCUCAAGGGACAUUUAAGACCUAAUUAUACUAAAUAAUUGCGCCGGGCGAGAGCUAUCGGAUGCAAUGGAGGCCGAGAAGUAAGACUUCUUAGCAGCCUUCACCGCCAUCUCGUAGGUUUUCAUAAAGCCCUAUAAGAUGUUCUUGAGGCUCCGUCACGGGCACCCCGCCAUACUCGCUCUAGCCGUCUGAGGUCCCGCUUCAUUUUCCGGAGCUCCUCGGUAAACCAGGGAGCCCGGUUUCUGCGGGGUCGCAGAGGGCACUUAGGUGCGAUCUCAUCGUUGGCUGCCAGGAGCUGGAUAUUCCAGCCCUCAACAAGCUCAGUCAAUGAGUCGCCGGGGGAGCAAGGUCCCGCAAGGCUUGACGGAAUCUAUCAGGGUCCAUCAGCCUCUGCGGGCGAGCCCAAAUCGGCUCGCCACCUAAGCAGGGUGGGGGUGGAAAGUCAAUCCUGGCUUUCAGAGCGUAGUGAUCAGACCAUGGCACCUUCAUCGAAGGAGACAUGAUCACAUCUAUACCGACGCCAAAGAUCAAAUCCAGCGUGUGGCCUGCUUGAUGUGCGGGGCCCGAAACAAACUGGGAGAGCCCUAGUGUCGCCAUGGAAGACACCAGGUCCAGAGCCUGUGAGGGGGGAGUGGCAUCAGCAUGGAUGUUGAAGUCCCCCAAUACCAAUAGGUUAGGGAACUCCAAGGCCCAGCCGGCCACCGCCUCCAAUAGGCCUGACAGGGUGGCUGCUGGUGCGCUAGGUGGCCGGUACACCAGCCAGACAGCCAAGCUCUCCUUGGAGCCCCACACUAGGCCAACACAUUCAAUGCCGGGGAUCGAUGGCGAUGGUAGAGCCCUGAAAGGACAAUCUUCCCGGAUUAAUAAUGCUACCCUCCCCGGCCCACAGUCCGCGACUGGUGGAGGACAGAGAAACCCGGGGGCGCCAUCUCUCGUAAGGUAACUGUUGCCCCUUCGCGCACCCAGGUCUCCGUCACACAAGCCAUGUCAACCCCUUGCGAGAUAAAGAAAUCUCGCAGGGUGGCGGUUUUGUUGCCUAUAGACCUGGCAUUGCACAGCACCAGUGACAGAGGUGAGUAAUCCUUGCUCACCCUACCCUCGUCCCUCGGGAUGAGGCACAGAUUGGAAGGGGUACGAGCAUAUCCAUAUCUCGAUCCCCUUCGCCUAUAACAUCUGCCCCCACCACCAUACCUCCCUCGCCCCUCCACGGUAGCAAUCCCAAACCUCAUAGUAGCCUCCAUUGAUGGCAAUUGAUGUUAUUCUUUCGCAGCCUAAAACAAUAAAACCUUAAAACAAUAAAAACAAAAAACAAAAACAACCCGGAAAACAAUAAAACAAUACAAAUAAAAACUGCAAAAAUUACAAAUUCAUCAAAAUCUAACAAAUUCCCAAGCCCACCCAAACAUCCAUCCCACCCCCAUAUAUAAAAAAUCUAAAGGGAAAGGGAGAUUUUAAAAUAUGUUAAACUCUGCACCCCUCCGGGUCCUCCUGGGCAGUAGCAGCAUCAGUGGCAACAACCAUCCUUGUGAGGCCCCACCCUGGGCCAGAUAGUAGGUGGCAGGAGCAGUCCUUGUGAGGCCUGUCAGGCCCCGCCCUGGGCCAGGUGGUAAGUGGCAAGAGCAGGGCCCUCAGGCACUCACACAGGGGAGUCCUCCUGGGCAGCAGAGCAACAACACCUGUUUAUUCAGCCCACGCAUGUUAGCAAUGAAAAGAAAAGAAAAUCUUGCAGGUUAUCAGCCUCUUCUUGCGGUUAUCAGCCUCUAGGAAGGCGACAUCUUUUUAUAUGGUCUAUAGAGAUCUUGCUCUUCCUGCCUGUGUGCCUUCAUUCCUACUCUUUGCUCUCUAUUUAUAAGGAAAGAUGGAGCAGGAAUUUCUAUCCCUUUUGAUCUUGCGGAGUUUUGAUGAAGCCUCCAAAGGAACAUCGGAAGUUGCCAUCUGCUGAGCCCAACAAAGGGCUCCCUCUAACCCUGUAUAGUCCACACUGACUGGCAGCAGCUCCCCCCAGUUUCAGGCAGGGGUCUCAUCCAGCCCUUGCAGGAGAUGCCAGGGGCUGACCCUGGGACAUUCUGCAUGCCAAGCAGAUGCUCUUGGUUCCCCAUAUUUCACUAGCCUUUCAACGUUAUUCUGUUAGCAACCGUGGAGAUUCCGCCUGCCUCUUUCCAAAGGAGAAAACUCACCUAUUUAAAGAAUUUGAGGUGAUGCAUCAUUUGUAUACUUUUUAUGAGUUCUAUGUUUUCAACGUCCCUGAGAUCUCUUGGUGAAGGGCGGUAUAUCAAUUCAAUUAUUUAUUUAUUUAUUUAUUUAUUUAUUCAUACCCCACCCAUCUGGCUGGGUUUCCCCAGCCACUGUGGGCGGCUUCCAACAAAAUAUUAAAAUACAAUAGUCCAUCAAAUAUUAAAAGCUUCCCUAAACAUAACAACCAUCCAUUUUUAGUCCACUGAAUUAGAAAUUCAGCAUUUUUGGAAGGGGAAAUGGCAUACUAUUUUAUAUUAGCAUCAAAAGCAUGCAUAAGAAAGUAUUACUCAUUUAUGAUGACAAUACGAUUGAUUUAUUUUGAACUUCGCUUGGUUCCUCCUUGGUAGCCAGUGCUUAUUUCAGCAGGGCUAGAAAUCAGGACCUCCAGCUGUGAACUGUGGGAUUUCCUGCGCAGAUAACUCUGUGACACCAGCCUUCUGAAUGUCACCUGUAGGAUUCAUCUGUAGCUGCAGUUUUCAUGGAAUCCUAGAGUUGAAAGGGACCCCAAGGGUCAUCAAGUCCCACCCCCUGCAUUGCAGGAGUCUCAGCUAGAUCACCCAAGACAGAUGGACAUCCAAAGUAGGCUUCUUGUAUUUCUAUAUUCAUCACUGAGUGCUGAAAUAGGCUUCUAAGCAGCGGACAGACGAGAACAAAUAGUGGCCAAGAUUCACCUAGCCAGCCCCAUCUGCUGCGAAAUAUAGCCUGCCCCCCAUUCCUCCCCCUCUCCAUGCCCCCAUGAACCCCUUGAAUUUGGCUGUAGGGCACUGGGAGGGAACCUUCCCAGAACAACUCACGAGGAGAGGAGAAAGUGGAUCCUUCCAUCUGGGAAACUGGAAUCCCUGCGUAGGCAGGAUGACUUGAAAACCGCAAGGAAGAGAACCACCUAUUUGCACAAAGAUGAAUACCCAUAAUUAAAAGCAGAAUAAAAUAAUUCAAUUAAAACGUCAAAAGAGGCAUCCAGAAUAAAAAUGUGCAGCAAAGCAAUCCCACUGAAAUAACGCAGCAAUUAAGAGGAAGGAAGGAGACAGAGCAUUGUGUAGCAGAUCAUAUUUCUGCUGUCUCAGAGGAGGACAUUUCCCUUUUUCUUUCAGGGUCCAGUGUGCUUUGAAGAUGUUGCUGUUCGUUUCACGGACGAGGAGUGGGCGUUGCUGGAUCCUGACCAGAAAUUUUAAAAUACCUCUAUGUAACAAACCUCAUACAUUUCCACAGAGCUCAACAGCACCCCGACAACACCUGGGAACCUAACACCCCCACAAGAAAGAGUAAAUUACAGUUUUUUCUGAGAACCAUCUUCCUCCAGUUCUGCCUUUUUAUACCAUGAUUGGGCUGGACUGAACUGCCCAGGCAUCUUAAAUGUCUACUUACAAUAGAGGCCAAAAUUGUGGUAACCUUUUGGGAAAAGGGGGUAUUCAUCACAUUUGCAGAUGACACCAAAUGGGGAGCGGAGGCCAAUGUGGCAGAAGGCAGAAUCAGAUCAAGGGCAAGAAUAAAUACCUUUAGGACCCCUGAUCAUUAGGGUCCAGUUGUGGCCGACUCUGGGGUUGCGGCGCUCAUCUCGCUUUAUUGGCCAAGGGAGCCGGCGUACAGCUUCCAGGUCAUGUGGCCAGCAUGACUAAGCCGCUUCUGGUGAACCAGAGCAGCGCAUGGAAACGCUGUUUACCUUCCCGCUGGAGCGGUACCUAUUUAUUUACUUGCACUUUGACGUGCUUUCGAACUGCUAUGUUGGCAGGAGCAGGUUGCCUUGGUCAAACCCCACCUUGAAUCCUGUGUUCAAUUCUGGGCAUCACAAUUUAAGUAUCCAAAAGGUGGGGGAACACAAUCCAUAUUCCUUUUAUGACAAGUGACCAAAGUUUAUUGAAUACAUAAAUUGUUAAGACUGUUGCAGGAAUCCACCCAGCACUCGUGGGAAAACGUGGCGUGAUCUUUUAGAAUAAUCAAAUGAAACUUUAACACAUGGCAGGAUGAAAGUCUGCAAUUCCACGAGGACAAUCUAUUUGUUGUUUACCAUUGUUGUAACCAUUGCUUUCUUUAAAAUUAUCUUUUGUACCAUGAAAAUAAAUAAAAGCAAUAUUUUUUAUAAAAAAAAGAGGUGGGGAAAUCAUGUGUAUUAUUCCAUUAAUCUGCUUGCAAGUUUUGUGUGUUAUUUUGAGUCUGUAACUCCCAGUUAUUUCACAUUAUCUAUAUGUUUCUGUGUGUUCAGCACACAUGAUUGCAGGUGAGACUGAAUAAAACACUUCCUAGGAAAUUCCCUUUGACUGCUUCUGUAUUGUUUCAAAUGUGACUUCACUUACACAUAAGAUCAUAUUUAUUGCUGAAAAAUCAUGUCAUCAUUGGCUCCUUAAUCUCUACCCCAACAAACCCUGCAGUUACAAGAGUAACUUCUUGCCCGCAAUUUCUUAGGUGGAAAUAACUGAUACUGGAAAGGAAGAAACGAGGUACAGCUUUUCCCUCAAACUUUUGGAGGAGGUUAAAGUGGGAAAUCCCAAGGGAGAUUUUGCUUAUCCGAGCUUCAGUUCAGCAGGUGAGCCUGGAUUUUCACAGGGCACAGCUACAGAACAAUGAUAGAAAGUUCUCCAGCCUUGGCAGGUGGGCGGAAUUUCUUGUCAUUUGUUUUUAUUGAUUUUUCCAGAUUAUUACAAGUCAUUGCCAAAUUAAUUCAAUUCAGUACAAUUUUCCAAAACAUGUUUCCCAUGUCUCCUUGUAAGAUAUUGUAGUAAUCAUUCACUUCUUUCAAAGCCAGUAUCCAGCUGUUGCAAGAGGACAGAGCUCACUCAAUGUGCUAGUUAAUCUCAACCCCAACAAACCCAGCGCUUUACAUGAGCAGCUGCUUUCUUCCCAUUUCUUAGGUGUAAAUAACUGAUAACGAAAAGGAAGAAGGGAGAUAGAGCCUUUCCCUCAACCUUUGGAGGUCUGGGGGGCUUCAUUUCACCCCUUAGUCCUGCUCCUGAAAGCUUGGCAGAUCUGGAGUAUUUGCUCACACUCUGGCAUGACUUAAAAAUCAACCUUUUAAAGAAAUGGUAUUGCAGUGCUGAAAAGGCUCAAGAAAGCAAUUCCUGUAGUAGCUGGCAUCUUAGCGAGCCCAGUGCCACUCUGCCAACUGUCUCACUCCCAGCUACCUAAUCUGGAAAGCUGUCCUGUAAUCUCUGCAAGGACUUCAGUGUCCCCUGAAUUAGCAAUUCAGCAUUUCUGGAAGGGGAAAUGAUAUACUUUUGUAUAUUAGCAUUAAAAGCAUGCAUAAGAAAGUACCUUCACUGGUGGGAGCAGCUGAGCACUCGGGCUGCAGCCUCCAGGUCAAGUCAGCAAGCAGGGCAGAAAUGAGGGGGGGCAGGCUCUCUGGGUCCUGGCAUGGCUGUAGCUCUUCAACUCCCCUCCUCACCCAUAAGCAACCCCCCAGAAUUGGGGCUGCCGGCUUCUGAGUCGCUCUCUCCACUCAUCCCUUCUAGGAUCAGGUGCUUAAGGCGCCUGUUCAGACGCUGCAAAAGGGUGGCCCCCCCAGCAAGUCCCCGAGCAGCCCGUGCAGUGGCGUAGCAUGGGGGGUGCAGGGGGGCCCGGCCGCACCGGGCGCAACAUCUGGGGGGGCGCUCGCACUCGCAGUGCUAAAAUCAGUGCUAAAAUCCACGGGUUAGGGGGCGCAAAUUACUUGCCUUGCCCCGGGUGCUGACAACCCACGCUACGCCACUGAGCCCGUGGCACCAGGUGAGCAAGUGGCCCUCCUUUUUGGGACAGAGGAGGGCAGGAAUCGGCAUGGGGGGCAGCUAGUGAAAAGAUGCAAAGAGCCAGAUAGCUGGAUCUGACCCAAGGUCCAUCUGGGCCAGCGGCUGGAAACCCAAUCCACCCAGUGGCCAACCCUGUUUGUGGAGUCUGGUGGAGGAAGCAGGGGGCUGGGCUGGGGGGCAAGGCUGGGGGCAGUUAUCUGCCGGAGGGGCACCUUCCCUGGGGAGCCACGUUCUGGGGGAAGGAGGCCAGGAUUGGUCCCCAAGGCUUGGGAUGUCCCUCCCCUGCAGUAGGACUUGGAAUCCAGGAGAAAACUCUUGGAAUAGCCUUGCCAGGUGCUCAGGGACGGACUCACCUGUCCCCAUGUCCUUCUCUUUGAAGAUGUGCUGCGGUUGCACAUCCCUCGCCCAGAGGUGAGUAUUGGAGAGAACCAGAGCAGGGACUCAGACCUGCCCUCCUUGCCCCCCACUCUGCACUCUCGGAUGUGGAGAAGCCGUCCCUUCGUGAGGAACUGAUAGCCUGACUUUUGCCUUUCAGCUGCUGGAGGAAGAUCAGCUGUACCUGCCGGAGGUGAUUCAGAACUGCCAGGCAGCUCAGCUCAGGGGCUCUGAACCCUGAAGUGUGUUGGGGGACAUUUGGCACAGAAACAUGUGUGUAUACCUUUAAGAAGUUUCUGGGAUUAAUUGGCUGCAGCUGGCCGUUGCUAUAAAGGAAAAAAAGCUGAGUUUUGCAGCCUGCCUGCAGGAAUAACACCCACCAGAGUUUGUUUAUUGUUUUGUAAUAAAGUCUUCGUUUUAGUUUGGGUUUUUACACCUAUGUCUCCUGGAGUCACUCUGUCCUCUGCCACCGGCUGGAAAUCCCCCUCCAACAAAGUGCUCCAAGCAGGAGGUGGCCAAAGCCAUCCUGGUGAGUGGUUGGGGGUUUGGGGGACCCCCAUGGGGAAGUGGGGGUUUGGGGAAGGGGAUGUCCGUCUGCCAGAGAAGAGGACCCUACUGGCUUAGAUUCACGUAUCCUGUUUGAAAGGGGAAUCAUCUUAGGGACUUAUUGUGAAAAUCUGGGUCAGGAAUGCUGUUCCUGGAAAGGACAAACACACAAGACGUAACUGGCUGUGCAGUCACAUAAACAAUACUCUUCUAUAUAUUCUUAUCACAAUAUCAAAUGUUUAUCUUGCACAUAAACAACACAUAAAGUGCAAUAAUAUAGACGAGAGCCAGGGACUCUGUGGUGGGGGCAGCUGAGGGCCGUUUUGGCCCAGACUGGCCCCUGACCCAGAGACGCUCUUUCCACCCACAGGACCUCAGAUGUUACACCCUUUGGGAAAGUGGGGAGGAACAGAAACCAGCAGCCAACAGCAUCCCUUCUCUGCUGGCCUUUGCCCAAAGUUUCCCCCAUCUCAGAGCAAGUAGCUCUCCCUCAUGGAUUCAGUCCUUUCAACACUUCCAUCUCCCCAAGAGACUCCCAAGGCUACUCAUCCUCUGCAGUUGAUAACAGACCUAACUGGAAAAAAAUGGCUUCCUCUUCUGGUGACACCAGAGAAUUCUAGAAGACAUUCACCCUUUCCAUAGCAUUAUGGAUGCACGAUUCCCACAGACAAGUUUCUUGGCAAGACAAGGGCCUUCUCUGGCCAUAGAGUGUCCUCCUCAGCAUCUCCAAAGAAGGAGCUGGGUUGCAAGAACUGCAGCAAAGGGAUGGGGCAACCCAGGCUAAUGGGGGGGGGGGGCUGUCUAGCUAGGAAAGCAAGACCCAGAGACAGUUGUGGGAGACCCAGAGACCGGCUUCCUCUGUGCCGGAGCCAAAGCUGCGACAGAUGGAGAAGCCAGACCUGCUGGGGGUGUCCGUGCUGUGAGCCCCUCCAUCCUACACUCUGGUUGUAUAUGUGAGUAAAUGAAACUACAUAUCAUAAAGAUGCCACAGUCUCCGCUGACCUUCCUUCCAAGGAAAUUGGAUCUUUGGUCAGCGCCUGGGAGCCCUGGAAUCUCAGGGACAGGGGUAGUUUACAAAUACAAAACACAAACACACACAAUCAUUUGUGCCUGUGUUCCUAACACACAACCAAGUGUGAAGGGUGCAUUGCAUGCUUUAGCAACAGCCCUCCUGUCAAUGAGGAAAUGCAACUUCCAUUGACUCAAAGAAGCAACAAGGGAAUCUUCUUGGGUGUCCCAGGAGGUCUGAGGGCCCUUAAAGGAAGAGGAGCCAUUUCUGCGCCCUGAGACCCCAAAAGGUCAGCAGACUCCCCUGCGAAUCCUGCGGAGCUGAGCUCCUCCUCCCGUCUUCUCCAGGGCCUGUUCCCAUUUUCUGCAUGGGGGGUCUGCCUGCUUUGCCCUGCACCAGCCACAGGCACCAAGCUUCUCUCUUUGCCUGCCCACCCCCCAUAUCUGCCCCAUAUCUGGGGUGGCAUGGCUAAUGGUAUUUGUUGUCCAGAGGGGACCACAUUUCAGAAAGCCAAAGCAUUGCAAUAAAUCAGUCUGAAAAGAUAGGUUUUUUUCCUUCCCAUUUAUUGCUUCAUUAAAAACAUUACUAUAACGUGCAUAAAAAAUAAUUACACAAAUAUAGAGGGAAACCUAAAAUAUUCUUUCCCAUUUUUUUUCUGCAUUCUUUAUUGCAUUCUUAAAUCUCUCUGUAUAGUGAUGUGUCUUCCCAAAAUUAAGAUGAAAAAGGCAUGAAGAUGACAUUGGCCCACUUUGCAUACAGCCUUGUAUACCUGCUUUAUGAACAACAACUGCAGUUUAACACAAACAUUCUUUGGAACUUCCUUCCUGGAGAAAUGAGCUUGGCUCUCUCCUUGGGGUCUUUGCCGGCAGGUCAAGACUUCCUUGUCCCAAGAGGCUUUGGGGAAGUGACGGCUUCGCAUGAAAGCGCUGGUGACAUGCUGCUUCUAUGGGAAUGUUCUAAAUUAUUUCAAUAUACUAUUAAUUCCAUUAAUAUGUAAUUGUUUCUUAAAUUAUUGCUCUUUUUCUAUGUGUUUAGCUGUUUCUAUCUUAAGUGUAAGCUGCCUUGAGUCCCUGUCAGGGAGAAAGGCAGGAUAUCAAGAACAACAAGAAUUCUUGUGCACAUGGUCAAAAUGUUAUUGUUCCUCCUCCUCUUCUCCUCCCAACUGUGCUGCAGUGAAUCAGGCCAGAGUCCAGCUUGCCAGGAUCAUAGAAUGACAGAAUUAUGAAUCAGGCCAUCGGUCCAUCUACCUCAGGGCGCCCCACACUGACUGGCAGCAACAGCUCUCUGGGGUUUCUCUCCCAGCCUUAGCUGGGGCUGCCAGUGGGGACUGAAGGCAGGACCUUCCUCUGAGCUCUGUCCCUUCGCCACAUUGGAUCUCUUAGGAUCAAAACAAAACACUCAGAUUCCGUAUCUGAAUUCCCACUCAACAGAUUGUAGGAAUGCAAAAUAGAAUCGUAGAGUGGGGAGGGACCCUGGGGGUCAUCUAGUCCAACCCCCUGCAAGGCAGGAUAAUCAGGAGACGUUGGACAAAGGCGCCCUUUUGGAGAACAAGAACUGCAGGAUCCUCCUGCGCAGCUCCCGGGUCCGGAUGCCGUAAAUUACGGGGUUGAGCACCGGGGGCAAAAUGACGUAGAGGUUGGCAAUGAGGAUAUGUGCAUAAUGGGGAUGUUGCGUCCGAGCGGUGGGUGAGGAAGGAGAAGAAGGCAGGAGUGUAGAAGACACAAAUCACAGCCACGUGGGAACCACAAGUGCCCAGGGAUUUGAGCCGGGCCUCUUUGGAGGGAGCCGGAAAACAGACCGCAAGAUCAGCACAUAGGACAGAAUAAUGAGGACCAAAUCUAGCAUGAGGAAGGCAAUGGCGAAGAGGCCGUAGAUGACAUUGACCCGGAUGUCGGCGCAGGCCAGCUUGGCGAUGCCCAUGUGCUCGCAGUAGGUGUGGGCAAUGAUGAUGUGGUCGCUGCAGAAGGGCAGGCGGAGAGUCAACAGGGCAAUGGGCACCACCAGCAUAGAGGGUCUCAGAACCACGCCAGCGCACAUCCAGGCGAGCCGUGGCUUGGUCAGGAUGGUGGUGUACCUCAAGGGGUCACAGAUGGCCACGUACCUGUCAAAGGCCAUGGCUAGCAGCACAACAGACUCCAUCCCCGUGAAGGUGUGGAUGAAGAACAUCUGGGCGAGGCAGGAGCCAAAGCCCAUCUCCCCGAGGCCAAACCAGAAGAUGGCCAGCAUUUUGGGCAGAGUGGAGGUGGAGAGGCCCAGGUCGAUGGUGGAGAGGAAAGAGAGGAGGAAGAACAUGGGCUGGUGGAGGCUGGCUUCCGUUUUGAUGAUGAAGAGGAUGGUGCAGUUGCCCAGGAGAGCGAUGACGUAGCCGAGGCAGAAGGGGAUGGAGAUCCAGGAGUGAAGAGCUUCCAGCCCUGGGACCCCCAGCAAGAUGCACGUGGGGAAUGAAAGUGGGUGGCAUUAGACAGUGGCAUUCUCCUCCUGCCUCUGGCCAGGUGUGGGUCACUUCAUCCCUGCCAAGAAAAAAGAAACAGGCUAGCAGGUAGAACCAUUUGGACACGAGUAGAGAUGCCUGAAGAUGGCCAUGGUGACCUAUGAUGGCAGCCAAUGGACCCGUCUCACAUUCAGGAGUCAAGAGGAGCAUGGAGGCAAAUGGGAAUAGGUGAGCGACUGUAGAAAGGGGGUAGGAGUCAAGAGGGACAAGGAGGAAGCUAGAGCCAACACUGCAGUUCUAACCCCCGUUGCAGGGGGUUGGACCCUUCCCCUCUGCAGGGAGGUGGGACCAAUUUGGAUGGUCUGCCCCCACCACUUAAUGGAUCCAAAUGGUUUCCAGAGAGUGGUAGGGGAUGCUUUAGCCCAUGUUGAUGGCCUUUCAGCUGAUUCCCUGGUGGCCCGCUGGAAUGCGGAGUUAACCAGGGCUAUCGACUGUCUGGCUCCAAGCGCCCUCUCCGAUUGCAUGGAGCCCAGACAGCCCCGUGGUUUUCUUCGGAGCUGAGGGCGAUGAAACAAUCGCUGAGACGGCUAGAGCGUCAGUGGCAGAAAACUCACUCGAAUCUGACCAGACACAGGUUAGAGCUCAACGUCAGAGCCUACCAAGUGGUGAUAGCGACAGCGAAGAAGACUUUCUACACCGCCUCUAUUGCAUCUGCAGAAAAUAGUAGCAGGAGACUCUUUCAGGUGGUUCGCAAUUUAACAGAACCACCUUUACCACCGGGGCCUUGUAAAGACCCCAAGAUCUCCUGCAACGAUUUUGCAAAGUUUUUUGCAGAUUAAAUCACUCAUAUUCGGAAGGAGCUAGACACCACUGUGGCAGCAGGGCCGGGGCGGGAGAGUGCUAGAGCUCUGUCUGGUCAAGUUGCAUGGAAUCAAUUUCAAUCCGUUACCCCCAAGGAUGUGGACAGGCUGCUUGGACGCGUGAAAGCAACCACCUGUCUCCUUGAUCCUUGCCCAUCCUGGCUAAUAAAAGCAAGCCGGGAAGGGCUGGGCGAUGGGCUCUGCGGGGUGGUGAAUGCUUCCCUCUGUGAGGGAACAUUCCCAGAUCCGCUGAAAGAGGCGGUCAUUAAACCGCUUCUUAAAAAACCAUCUUUAGACCCGGCCAGUAUGGCCAACUAUCGCCCAGUCUCAAAUCUUCCAUUCUUGGGCAAGGUGACUGAGCGCGUGGUUGCUGAACAACUCCAGACACGCCUGGAGGAUGCGGACCAUUUGGAUCCCUUCCAAUCAGGGAUUCAGGCCACAUCCUGGGACCGCAACUGCCUUGGUCAUGCUGGUUGAUGAUCUCCGGCGAGCUAGGGACAAAGGUGAGAGUUGUUUCCUGGUUCUGCUGGAUCUCUCAGCGGCCUUUGAUACAAUCGACCAUAACAUCCUUCUGGACCGUCUAGAGGGGCUGGGAGCUGGGGGCACUGUUAUACAGUGGUUUUGUUCCUUCCUCCUGGGCCGUGUUCAGAAAGUGGUGGGGGGGGGGGAUGAGUGUUCAGACCCCUGGGCCCUCUCUUGUGGGGUGCCUCAGGGUUCCGUCCUCUCCCCAAUGAUUUUUAACAUCUAUAUGAAGCCGCUGGGAGAGAUCAUCAGGGGAUUUGGACUGGGUGUCCAUCAAUAUGCAGAUGAUACCCAGCUCUACCUCUCUUUCAAAUCAGAACCAGUGAAGGCGGUGAAGGUCCUGUGUGAGUGCCUGGAGGCGGUUGGAGGAUGGAUGGCGGCUAAUGGAUUGAAGUUGAAUCCUGACAAGACAGAAGUAUUGUUUUUGGGGGACAGGGGGCGGGCUGGUGUGGAGGACUCCCUGGUCCUGAAUGGGGUAACUGUGCCCCUGAAGGACCAGGUGCACAGCCUGGGAGGCAUUUUGGACUCACAGCUGUCCAUGGAGGCACAGGUCAAUUCUGUAUCCAGGGCAGCUGUCUAUCAACUCCACCUGGUACGCAGGCUGAGACCCUUCCUGCCCGCGGAGUGUCUUGCCAGAGUGGUGCAUGCUCUAGUUAUCUCCCGCUUGGACUACUGCAAUGCGCUCUACGUGGGGCUACCUUUGAAGGUGACCCGGAAACUACAAUUAAUCCAGAAUACGGCAGCUAGACUGGUGACUGGGGGCGGCCGCCGAGACCACAUAAAAAUCGGUCUUGAAAGACCUACAUUGGCUCCCAGUACGUUUCCGAGCACAAUUCAAAGUGCUGGUGUUGACCUUUAAAGCCCUAAAUGGCCUCGGCCCAGUAUACCUGAAGGAGCGUCUCCACCCCCAUCGUUCUGCCCAGACGCUGAGGUCCAGCGCCGAGGGCCUUCUGGCGGUUCCCUCAUUGCGAGAAGCAAAGCUACAGGGAACCAGGCAGAGGGCCUUCUCGGUAGUGGCGCCCGCCCUGUGGAACGCCCUCCCAUCAGAUGUCAAAGCGAUAAAUAACUACCUGACAUUUAGAAGACAUCUUAAGGCAGCCCUGUUCAGGGAAGCUUUUAAUCUGUGAUAUUUUACUGUAUUUUUUGUUUCUAUGGAAGCCGCCCAGAGUGGCUGUGGAAACCCAGCCAGAUGGGCUGUGUACAAAUAAUAAAUUAUUAUUAUUAUUAUUAUUAUUAUUAUUAUUAUUAUUAUUACCCCUUGGGUCCCAUCCAACUCUACAGAUCUAUGAUUCUAUGAUUAUUGCAUACAUGAAAAGGGUUGCAGGUGCAGGAGUGUGAAAUGUCUGGGUCUCAGCUUUUGCACAUAACCUCCAGUUGCCUUGGCAACCAGUCUUCCGUGAGGGGCCGCUGGCAUCCCUUCCUACAUCUUUCUCCCUGGCUUGUCAAAACACCCUAGCAAAACACCCUGAGUCCUUCUAGGGUCAGAUAAGGCCGGCAUUCAGUGCAGGAGGAAGGCAUGAGAAGGCAGGCACACAGGAAUCAAAACGUUCAUUGGUACAUUCUCUCUCUCUCUAAAAAAAAGGUUAAAUGCGCAGCAUUGGAACAGUUAGAACAAAGUCUGUAUCAGGAAUCAGGCAUUUUUUUCCGUCACAAGCAACUGGCAUUCAGAUGCACCGCGGCCUCCCCAUGUGGAGGCAGAGAAGAGCCAUUCUGGCGAGAGCGAACCCUCUCACCUGCAGAGCCACAGGGAGGUCUGUCAGUCACCAGGAGACCAUCUGCUUCACAUGCAAGUCUGGUCCUCAGCAACUCCAGGCAGGGGGCUGGAGAGACUCCCUGCCUGAGACCCUGAAAAGCCACCGCAGCCACUGCGGUCCACCUCUAGGUUAAGGUGUUGUUCGGGUCAGUCUAAGGCAGCUUCUUCUGCUCCUGAGGUUCCUGGUGGAGUUUUGCAAGCAGCUGCAUCCUGCGCAGAGCAUCGCUCUGAGGCCACCUGGCUGAGCGGGAAGCAGCCUUUAUGGUGCCUCUGUGGAGAACGAGGGAGGGGGCAUCUCAAGGGGCUGUUCAGAGACAUUUUCCAUCCCAAACAGGUCCAUUGCGCCAAGGUAUGCCCAGCUGUGGGGCAUCUCUCCAAGGCCACCGGGUCGGGGGAUUAAUCAUUGAGUCCCUCCAGCACAGUGCUGCCCCCAGGGUUUGAUGACCACAGGGCUGGGGAAUCUGUGGCCCUCCGGGUAUCCAUGCAACCCAUCUCCCAUCAUCUUUGACCAUGAGCUGUGCUGUUUGGGACUGAGGGAAGUCAAAGUCCCAAUAUAUCUGGAGGACCACGGUGUCCCCAUCCUGGGCUGCAGCCUCUAACUCCAGCGAGUCCAAGUGGAAGAAGAGAGGAAGGCUAGCCUGGAUUUAAAUUGUUUGAAGUUUCAGGCUAGCCUUCCUCUCUUCUUCCACCUGGAAGAGGGAAGAGGUGUCCGCAAGGAUGCAACAGAAGAAGCUCCUCCACCCCUUUUGGGGUCUAUGCCUCUGGAGCAGCAGAAAAACAAGGUUGCUCCAUCUUUUAUGAAACAACCCUUCAGAUACUUGAAAAUAGCCAUCAUAGAAUUGUAGAGCUGGAAGGGACCCACAGAGGUCAUCCAGCCUGACCCCCCUGUGAUGCAGGAAUCUCAACUGAAACACCCAUGGCAAAUGGCCACCCAACCACUGCUUUAAAACCUCCAAGGAAGGAGAGUUCCACUGCUGAACAGCUCUUAAUCCAGCAAAAGCGGAUUAAUUUAGGGUUCACUAGAUUCCUCACCACCUCCAUCGGAAGCCUCUGGUGCCUGCCUCCCUGUUCCCCAAUGCUGCCCCUUGCCUUGGCAGGGAGACACACAGCCCUGGUCAGGCAUCCCUGAGCCCCUUUGGGAUUUCUCGUCAGAAAUUGUUCCAGGGGAGACAGGAAGCCAGAAGGACUGACUAAGGGAUGGCGUAAAAGUGCCUCCUCUGCAGAGGCUCGUAUCAGUUACAACUGCCCACACCUGGACAACUCUUCCACUCAAAGGCUGAGUGUGAGCCCAGGAAUACAGAUAUCUCCCCCAUCCAGGCACUUAGAGCACAGAUGUCAAGGAAAUAAACAACUACUAGACUUUUAGAAGACAUCUGAAGGCAGCCCUGUUCAGGGAAGUUCUUAAUGCUUGACUGUCUUGUAGUUUUAUAAAUUGUUGAGAAAGCCACCUAGAGUGGCUCAGGCAAACCUGUCUGAUGGGUGGGGUACAAAUAAAAAGAUGGUGAUGCUCCAUGUCUCUUUUAGUUGAGAUUCUUUAGUUGAGUUGCUUUAGCUGAGAUUCCUGCACUGCUGGGGGUUGGACUAGAUGGCCCUCAGGGUCCCUUCCAACUCCACAGUUCUGUGGUUCUAUGAUUCCUUCUCCAGGGCAAAGACCAAGUCAAGUGCUUCUGAAGUAGCCAGUAAUUUAAGAAUUCUGAAGUCCUCAGCUGAUGUUGAGCUUCAGCACCUUUUAUUAGAACCAUCCCAAAAGUCACCAGCCGUUUGAGGUCUCCAUGGCCUCCAACUUGAGAGGCUUUGAAAGAGGAUUAGACAAAUUCAGGGGGGAGGAGAGGGGUCUUGAGGGCCAAUAGUGCUAAGGAAGUAUCAAAACUUGGGGUUUCCCAACUUUUUUGGCCCUGCGGGUCCAAAAUUGGUCAGGUUCAAGCAAGAGACCACAGCCCAGUUAAAGAAGCCAAACAGCGGCUAUUAAGCCUGAUCAUUUAUUUUCCACUCCUAAGCAAGCAAAGAAUAACCCAGAGCAAAAGGCUAUAUCCAAUUCAAAUGUUCCCAUGAUUUCCCAUACAACAUUUCAAGAAGCUUAAUCGGAGAUGUCAGAAUCAUGUCAGAAAAGAGGUGUGGUGCCAGGUAGAAAGUCCCAGUCCCUUAGGGCUGCAAUUAUUCAUUCGUCUUUCCCCUUCCAAGGAAACAUUCCUUUAUUAUCGUGAAUCAGUUGGCACCACUUAUUCUUGCUGCACCUGGUGAACUCCCAGCCUGCAUUGCGUUUCCCCAAUAUGCAUUGUGAAGGUGAUGGGCUUCUGUCUGGCUCUUUGCCAUGUGGGCUCUUGCCCAAUCUGCCAGGCAGGAGGGGGAUUUGGGGAUUGUGGCUGACCCUGACCCACCCACAGGGCAACGCGGGUCUUCUCCCCUCUUCUCCUCUCCAACAUCAUUACUACCUUUGGAACUAUUUUUUUUAAAAAUGGCUAUUUUGGGUGAUCUUCAGUGUUUCAUAGGGUUCCCUUGCCUUAUUCUGAUAAGAGGGCCAUAAGCAUUGGUUCUUGAGCAUUGAACGGGUGCUCUCUCUCUCUCUCUCUUUCUCUUUCUCUCUCUCUCUCUCUCUGUGUGUGUGUGUGUGUGUUGCUUUGUUUUGAGUCCCUGCAAUGUUUCAGAUGCCUUUGUUGGGUGCCCCUGCUUUUGCCUUUAAAUAGCAUCAGUUGGCGGCAGCAGGGCUUCUAAAUGCCAGUCGCUAGAAAGGGCAGGAGCGGAGAGCAGCUCUUGUGCUCAGGUUCUGCUUGUUGUUUUCCCCCUUGGGGCAUCUGGUCGGCCACUGUGAGAGCAAGAGGCUGGGCUGGCCGGGCCAUUGGCUUGAUCCAUCAGGCUCUCCUUCUGUCCUUCUGUCUGUUCUUCCCCAGAAGCUGUAGCAGAACUCCAGGAUCCAGAUGAAAAAGGCGGACCAAGGAGGUCCACUCAGCCUCCCUGCUGAUGGAGAUGCAUGUGUGGUAGCUGCUGGUGUGAGAAUGUUGUGGAUAGUGGGAGAGGAUGUAUUGAUUCAAUAUUAUCCUUCCUCACUCAUGCUAGUGAGCUGGUAGGAGAGCACAUUCCCUAGUACACAGCAGGAAACUAGUUGACAGAUUCGUUAAGGUAAAGGUCAAGAUACCCCUGCCCGUACGGGCCAGUCUUGACAGACUCUAGGGUUGUGCGCUCAUCUCACUCUAUAGGCCGGGAACCAGCGCUGUCCGCAGACACUUCCGGGUCACGUGGCCAGCGUGACAAGCUGCAUCUGGCGAACCAGAGCCGUACACGGAAACGCCGUUUACCUUCCCGCUAGUAAGUGGUCCCUAUUUGCACCCGGGGGUGCUUUCGAUCUGCGAGGUUGGCAGGCGCUGGGACUGACGCACGGGCGCUCACCUGGCGCGGGGAUUCGAACUGCUGACCAUGCGAUCGGCAAGUCCUAGGCGCCGAGGUUUUACCCACAGCGCCACCCGCGUCCCGACAGAUUUGUUAGAACCAUAUAAAUUGAGCAAUCUAGUCUGGCUUGUCCAGAUUGGAUUGCUCCUGGUAAAUUCCCUUUGGUUCCCUCUUAAGAACAAUGAUGACACAACAGUCUUCUUUUAAAAGUAAUGAUAAGCAUGUUCCAGCAGCCUUAAGGCUUUUCAAUGCAAAAUCCGUUUCCCAACUCCUGUACGCUGCAAAUGUCUGGCAUAAUGAGGACCUGCCUGAGCUAGAAGGCUUUCAGGCAAAAUUUACGAUCUCUGCUGCACGUACCCAACUGUGUCCCCAACUCCAUACUUCUGUUAGAAGCUGGUGAAUGCACAAUCUCAACUAAAGCAUGGUGGGCUGCCCUAAAACAUUGGCUCAGGAUUUCAGUGUUUGAUCUAGGGAAGGGUUUGUACCAACACCUGACCAAUGAGGAGUUUGUCAGCAAAUGGCAGAAAACCAUGGCUAGAAAAGCCACCUCUAUUGGUCUGUCACACCCCAACUGUAUUACCUGGGUUAAGAAGGCGCCCUAAAGACGUUAAAGCAAAGAUUAUGGGAUAAUACAAACAGUGACUUGUGAUCUCCAUCACACACAGUCUGUAGUCCGCUGGCAGUAGGAGUACAAUAUGGGCAUGUCUUUAAGUUAACAUCUUACGGUCGGAAUUAAACAUUAUAAAUUGAGAGCAUUUGCAGAUGACUUAGUAUUGACGUUACAGGAGCCAGAAUCUAGUACAAAAAGGGUUUUAGAACUGAUUCAAGAAUUUGGUCAAGUGGCAGGAUUUAAAUUGAACAAGUCAAAAACCAAGGUUCUAGAGAAAAAUUUAACACCGAUUGAAAGAGAGAGGUUUCAGAAUGAGACAGGUUUAACAGUGGUUAAGAAAGUUAAAUACCUGGGGAUUAACAUGACAGCAAAAAAUGGGAACUUAUUUAAAGAUAACUAUGAAAAAUGUUGGUCAGAAGUGAAAAAAGAUUUAGAAAUUUGGUCAAAUUUGAAGCUUUCACUGCUAGGCCGUAUUGCUGUGAUAAAAAUGAAUGUAUUGCCUAGAAUGUUGUUUUUGUUUCAAACUUUGCAGAUCGUGGACAAAAUGGAUUGUUUCAAGAGGUGGCAGAAAGAUAUCUCUAAAUUUGUCUGGCAGGGCAAGAAGCCUAGAAUAAAAUUUAAAAUACUAACAGAUGCAAAAGAAAGAGGUGGAUUUGCCCUGCCAGACCUUAAACUUUAUUAUGAAUCAGCAGCCUUUUGCUGGUUGAAAGAAUGGCUACUUCUUGAAAACACUGACAUUUUGGACUUGGAAGGUUUCCAUAAUGUAUUUGGAUGGCAUGCAUAUUUAUGGUAUGAUAAGGUCAAAGCACAUAAAGCAUUUAAAAACCACAUUGUCAGGAAAGCGCUAUUUAAUGUUUGGUUAAGAUAUAAGGAUUUGUUAGAAAAUAAAACCCCAAGGUGGCUGUCACCAAUGGAAGCGAAAGCCUUGAAAAAGGUCAAUAUGGAGGUCAAAUGGCCGAAAUAUUGGGAAAUUUUGGAACAAGAUGGAGAUAGACUGAAAUUGCAGAGUUUUGAAAAACUAAAAACAAAGUGCGAGACUGGCUUCAUUAUUAUCAGAUAAUGGAGGCAUUUAAAUUGGACAGGAAAAUUGGCUUCCAGGUGGAAAGAUCCAAAUUAGAAACAGAAUUGUUAGAACCCAAAACUAAGAAUUUGUCAAGAAUGUAUAACUUGCUGCUGAAAUGGAAUACUCAGGAUGAAACGGUAAAAUCGGCCAUGAUUAAAUGGGCACAGGACGUUGGACAUAACAUUAUGUUUGCUGACUGGGAACAGUUAUGGACCACAGGUAUGAAAUUUACGGCAUGUAAUGCCUUAAGAGAGAAUAUUAUGAAAAUGAUAUACAGAUGGUACAUAACCCCAGUCAAGCUUGCGAAAAUCUAUCACUUGCCCGAUAAUAAAUGUUGGAAAUGUAAAGAAACUGAAGGUACAUUUUUUCACCUUUGGUGGACGUGCCCAAAGAUUAAGGCUUUCUGGGAAAUGAUAUAUAAUGAAUUAAAAAUGGUAUUUAAGUAUACCUUCCCCAAGAAACCAGAGGCCUUUCUCCUGGGCAUAGUGGGCCAAACGGUGUUAAAAAAGGAUAGAACUUUCUUUAUGUAUGCAACAACAGCAGCAAGAAUACUUAUCGCAAAGUAUUGGAAGACAGAAGAACUUCCCACGCUGGAGGAAUGGCAGAUGAAACUUAUGGACUAUAUGGAAUUGGCGGAAAUGACUGGCAGAAUCCGUGACCAGGGAGAAGAGUCGAUGGAGGAAGACUGGAAGAAAUUCAAAGACUAUCUUCAGAAACACUGCAAAAUUAAGGAAUGUUAGAGUGAUGUUGGAUUGAAAAUAAGUGGUUUCCAGCUGUACAGG